This 497-nucleotide ribosomal RNA is filed under the name uncultured bacterium. Its description in RNAcentral is "partial 16S ribosomal RNA". It matches the Rfam family "Bacterial small subunit ribosomal RNA", at positions 28 to 507 of the family's 1533-position model. The record is from RNAcentral.
GAUGAACGCUGGCGGCGUGCCUAAUACAUGCAAGUCGAGCGAACAGACGAGGAGCUUGCUCCUCUGACGUUAGCGGCGGACGGGUGAGUAACACGUGGAUAACCUACCUAUAAGACUGGGAUAACUUCGGGAAACCGGAGCUAAUACCGGAUAACAUGUUGAACCGCAUGGUUCAACAGUGAAAGACGGUCUUGCUGUCACUUAUAGAUGGAUCAGCGCCGCAUUAGUUAGUUGGUAAGGUAAAGGCUUACCAAGGCAACGAUGCGUAGCCGACCUGAAAGGGUGAUCGCCCACACUGGAACUGAGACACGGUCCAGACUCCUACGGGAGGCAGCAGUAGGGAAUCUUCCGCAAUGGGCGAAAGCCUGACGGAGCAACGCCGCGUGAGUGAAGAAGGUCUUCGGAUCGUAAAACUCUGUUAUUAGGGAAGAACAAAUGUGUAAGUAACUAUGCACGUCUUGACGGUACCUAAUCAGAAAGCCACGGCUAACUACGUG